UUUACCUUAUAUUAUUUAAUUCUAGUCAAACCUCCUACCCUAAAAUAAUUAAGGAUAUUUUAGUAAAUUUAUAAAUUACAAUACAAUACAAUACAGUCAAACCAAACAAUAAAAAUGUUAUUAAACAACAACAAACAAUACAGUCUAGCCAAACAUUGUAUCUACCAUACAAUACAGUACAAUAGAGUACAAUACAAUACAAUACAUUAUGAAACAAUGGGUAACAAUGAUCCAAACAGAGUGUUAG
RNAcentral lists this long non-coding RNA (247 nucleotides) under Solanum tuberosum (potato). Its description in RNAcentral is "long non-coding RNA (STUB_LNC009133)". Lineage: Eukaryota; Viridiplantae; Streptophyta; Magnoliopsida; Solanales; Solanaceae. The record is from RNAcentral.